This 434-nucleotide ribosomal RNA is filed under the name uncultured Lachnospiraceae bacterium. Its description in RNAcentral is "partial 16S ribosomal RNA". It matches the Rfam family "Bacterial small subunit ribosomal RNA", at positions 341 to 792 of the family's 1533-position model. The record is from RNAcentral. Lineage: Bacteria; Bacillati; Bacillota; Clostridia; Lachnospirales; Lachnospiraceae.
ACGGAAGGCAGCAGUGGGGAAUAUUGCACAAUGGGGGAAACCCUGAUGCAGCGACGCCGCGUGAGUGAAGAAGUAUUUCGGUAUGUAAAGCUCUAUCAGCAGGAAAGAAAAUGACGGUACCUGACUAAGAAGCCCCGGCUAACUACGUGCCAGCAGCCGCGGUAAUACGUAGGGGGCAAGCGUUAUCCGGAUUUACUGGGUGUAAAGGGAGCGUAGACGGCUUUGCAAGUCUGAAGUGAAAGCCCGGGGCUCAACCCCGGAACUGCUUUGGAAACUGUAGAGCUAGAGUGCAGGAGAGGUAAGUGGAAUUCCUAGUGUAGCGGUGAAAUGCGUAGAUAUUAGGAGGAACACCAGUGGCGAAGGCGGCUUACUGGGCUGUAACUGACGUUGAGGCUCGAAGGCGUGGGGAGCAAACAGGAUUAGAUACCCUGGUA